AGGUAAAAAUUUCAUCUAUUUCUACUUGUAAAAAUUGGGGUGGUUGACGGAAUAGUUAGACAGUUACAUAUGGUGUGUCAAGUGUACUUCAUAUUAAUGUUUAUGGACCAUUUUUUUAACAAUGGAAAUGAAUGGAUUUUUUAAUA
Molecule: microRNA precursor, 146 nt
Filed under: Gossypium arboreum
Lineage: Eukaryota; Viridiplantae; Streptophyta; Magnoliopsida; Malvales; Malvaceae
Description: MIR7502 microRNA precursor family
Rfam family: MIR7502 microRNA precursor family
Source: Rfam by way of RNAcentral